RNAcentral lists this ribosomal RNA (472 nucleotides) under Celebia sp. 5 MVD-2017. RNAcentral describes it as "partial 16S ribosomal RNA". It matches the Rfam family "Bacterial large subunit ribosomal RNA", at positions 1859 to 2589 of the family's 2925-position model. The record is from RNAcentral. Lineage: Eukaryota; Metazoa; Arthropoda; Insecta; Coleoptera; Curculionidae.
CUGCCCAAUGAGGAAUUAAAUGGCCGCGGUACUUUGACCGUGCAAAGGUAGCAUAAUCAUUAGUUUUUUAAUUGAAAGCUGGUAUGAAAGGUUGGAUGAGAGAAUAGCUGUCUCUAUUUAAAUUUUUUAAAAUUUUAUUUUUAAGUAAAAAAGCUUAAAUAAAAAUAGAAGACGAGAAGACCCUAUAGAGUUUUAUAGAUUUAAAUUUAGAAAGUCUUAGGAAUUAAAAAAUUUUUAAAUUUAAAUAUAUUUAGUUGGGGUGAUUGAAAAAUUAAAAAAACUUUUUUUAUAUUAUAACAUUUAUUUAUGAUUGGUUGAUCCUUUUUUAAAGAUUAAAAGAAAAAAUUACCUUAGGGAUAACAGCGUAAUUUUUUUAAAGAGUUCAAAUCGAAAAAAAAGAUUGCGACCUCGAUGUUGGAUUAAAAUAAAAUUUUGGUGUAGAAGCUAAAAUAUUUGGGUCUGUUCGACCCUU